GCCCAGCCGUAAACUUUUAUUUACAUCCAAAUCGCCCGGGAACUACGAGCUAAGCUUAAAACCCAAAGGACUUGACGGUACCCCAUAUCCCCCUAGAGGAGCCUGUCCUAUAAUCGAUAAUCCACGUUUAACCUCACCGCUUCUAGUUAAUCAGCCUGUAUACCUCCGUCGUCAGCUUACCACGUGAGCGUAAAUUAGUGAGCCCAAUGUUAUUUCACCAACACGUCAGGUCAAGGUGCAGCAAAUGAAGUGGGAAGAGAUGGGCUACACUUUCUAUUUUAGAAGAAACGAAAAACUACUUAUGAAACCUAGUUAGAAGGCGGAUUUAGCAGUAAAAAGAAAUCAGCAUGUUCAUUUUAACCCGGCACUGGGGUGUGU
This 378-nucleotide ribosomal RNA is filed under the name Bufotes viridis (European green toad). RNAcentral's name for it is "partial 12S ribosomal RNA". It matches the Rfam family "Bacterial small subunit ribosomal RNA", at positions 794 to 1384 of the family's 1533-position model. The record is from RNAcentral. Lineage: Eukaryota; Metazoa; Chordata; Amphibia; Anura; Bufonidae.